GCAGGGGGCAGAGCUGCUCCCACCCCAGGAGCAGCCCACGGUCCGGGGGGGGGAGAGGGAGAGGGUUGACCUCUUGCGACAGUCGGUCCCCCCUCCACCCUCAAAUCCAGCCCCUGUGGAAGUUAACAGGACACCCCACCCCCCACUCCGCCCCCAUCUUUUCUGUGGGCAAAGGGGGAGGGAGGAGUAACAACGGUCACAUCCUCGCCAUCCGUCUUACGGGCAUGGGGUGGAGGUUAGAGCUUCAAGAGGCGCCAUUUUUGGUGUGGGCACAUAUGCCAGGGGUGGAAUGAUACUUGCUCAUCACCGUCAGUUUGCUUUUAGAGUCGGUCUGCGAAAGCCAAGGCAAAAUUCAAGGAUUCUUAUCCGAGGAUUCGGAGGGAACGGCUCAUGUUUUAGAGCGCGGGAGCAGGGCGAGGGCGCGUGGAGGCCAGGCGCCAUAUUAACGGCUGGUAAAGGAGACGACAGGGUGGCCGCCACCUUUGCCCAGAGCAGCAAGCAAAAGAUCCGAAGCCCACCGCCAUCUUUACUGUUACCACAGGAAGCGAGAGUUUCUGAAUGAUCCGCCAUAUUUGUUGUGGGCAAAUAAGGAGGCGCCAAACUUUCGUUUUGACCCGCAUUUUUAAAAAAAAUGCAGAGAGAGAUGUGCGUGGUCGGAGAAGUACCGUAUUUACUGUAAGCAAAAUUGGAGGCCCUCCUCAAAAAUAUGUCAUCAUUAGCGAGCGAAGGCAUUUGUUGUGUGUGUCUUCGCCUUAAGGAACAUGUUCAGCCAGAUUUUAAAACCCUCAAGAGUUGGGAAGUGUUAUCGCUCUUCGCUGUCGCAGCAGGCAGAAAUCCAGCAGGUGAUUCCUCAUACGAUGCAACUCCAUGUGGAAAAAAGGAUUGAUAUUGCACCUAGAAUGCAAAAAAGCAUCCAGGCAAAAGAAACACCCCACUUCCAGAAACACCCCACCAGAAACACCCCACAAUAUUCUUCCAGGAAAACCCCACAGACCCUGCUGACCAGAGGUGCCAGUGAGGACCAACAUAACCAUGUACACCACUCUGGGCUCCUUGGAGGAAGAGCAGGAUAUAAAUGUAAUCAAUUAAAAAUAAAAUAAAAUAAAGGAGCAA
Hemicordylus capensis (graceful crag lizard) is the source of this 1113-nucleotide long non-coding RNA. RefSeq lists it as uncharacterized. The record is from RefSeq and is a predicted model, not a curated record. Lineage: Eukaryota; Metazoa; Chordata; Lepidosauria; Squamata; Cordylidae. The transcript has 3 exons.